GAAGUUCAGGAACUCGUUAACUAUCCGGGCUUGCUGCGGAAAAUACUCAUUAUAAUCACCACCUCUUUUCUGUAUAGCAUAAUUAGUGAGACUAUGAGCCAAAUAUUGAAUCCACUUUUCUACUAUAUUUAUUUUUAUAUUAGCAUUUCAUAUUAUUGCUAUUUUUGUUCGAAUUUGCGGUCAUUUUCUAUAGAGUAUUGGUCAUGUUAUACUAUACUAGUAAAAAAAGUUGGUAACUUGAGCCUUACAAACUAUUAUUAUUAUUAUUUGCUAACCCCUUUGAGCCUCCAUGCAAUAAUUUAUUUUGUUAUCACUAAGUGACAAAUCAUGUCAUAAGUUUUUAACCUUAAUGUCACCUAUUUGAUUUCUUUUGGAGUUGGAUAUAAUAUUUUUAAUAAAUUGGUAUGAUUUGAAAUUAAGUUUGAGUUUGCUCUUUGAAAUUAGCAAUAUUUUAAGUUUUUGGUGAGGUAUCAGUAGAACUUAUUUAUCAAAAAUGAAAAAAUGUAGAUAAAACCAUAUAAAAAUAUGGGUUUACACAAAAAAAAUAUAUAUAUAUAAUCAAGAGUCAAAAACAUCAAAAUUUUGGUCUCUUAAAAAAAAUGUAUUUAUCUUCAAAAAUGAAAGAUAAAGAGUUCUACUUAAUUAAUACCCACAUUGUUUUGGUUUAAGGAAGGAAAGUUUGAAAUGCUUCAAUAUUUAGUAGGAAUCUAUAUGUUGGAAAUCUAACUUCAAGUUGUGUUGUUAGCCUACUUUUUCAAAUAUAUCUCACCUUGUCUAAGCAAAUAUAUAACUCUAUUUAUGACAGAUUCAACUUGUGGCUUUUCAUUAUCUCUAGCAACUUGAGAAAGCAUAGUCCUUUCAAUGCUUCAACUGUCAAUGUCAAUGAGUCAAUGCUGACCUAUGAAGUACAUACGCUUCUCGGCUUAGACGUGCCCCAUGGUAAGAUAUGCGUGGUGUUCGACACCGACACAUAUUAUUACAUUGAAUUAUGUGAUUUUCUUAAAUUAUUAUUUAGGUCGGUAUGUCAGUGUCCGGUGUCCGUGUCUGUGCUUAAUAGAUGCUAACACAGAUGGUGAUAUGCAGGUUUUGGAUAGCAUGAAGGUUAAUGAUUACAUUUGGGAGUACCUUGAGUUUGGAGUGGUGAUGAAAGCAUAUAGUGUCUUUACAGAUGCAAGGUUUACUAAGAUCUCACCUGGAAAGUAAAUUAACUCAUCAUUCUUCAAGAAAUGUAGUGUUUCAAGACUAUCAAAUUUCUGAAUUGAUCUUAGUAAAUCUUGAUUGUAUUUCCAUUCUAUUUACAAACCAAUGCUUUGUUCUAUACAAGUUCAGUUCAGUAACACCGCUUGAUAUAUUCAAAGACUCAAAUGAUUGUUUACUCAUUAUGUAUUUACAUAUCUUGAAAUAUAAAUAAAUACCAAAUAAAACUAAUAAGAGUUUUGUCAUGAGGUGUCUAUACAAAGCAUUAUAGUAAAAUAGUUCAUUAAAGACAAGUUUAGAGACACAUCUUUAUCAGUGCAGGGUAGUGUGUACCUGAUAAAUGGAGUCAUCCGCCGAUUAAUGGUGCACCCUAUACGGAGGACCCUGCGAAACAUGUAUAGGCCCCAUAACAUCGACCACCACGUCCACCAUAUCCUACUUUCCUACUUUCUAUUUCAAUACGCUGAACAUGGGCUAUUUUUAACCAGUCCUCGCCUAUUUCCUUUUGGCAUCGCUUCUCUAUUUGAGGGCAGCAUUGAAUACACAAUCUUUUUAGACUGCUAAGAUAUCGGAUGCUCGCCGGAAGACAGCUCAAAUUAGGACACACAAGAAUAAUUAAUUCCUGAAGUAAGGAAAGGUUUCCCAAACAGUCAGGCAAAUAUUCUAGUUUUGGAAGUUCAGACAAUAUUAUGCAUUGCAGAGAAGUCAUAUGUUGCAAAGCCUCGUGCAAACUUUCUACUUCCGGACAACUAGCAAUCACCAAUGUCUCUAGACAAGUUAGGUAUUGAAAACCUUCUGACAGAUUAAACUUGUGGCACUUCACUAUCUCUAGCAACUUGAGAGAGGAUAGUCCUUUCAAUACUUCAUCUGUCAAUGACUCAAUAGUGACACAGUUGGUAAUAUACAGGUGUUGGAGAGAAUGAAGGUCAAUGAUUUCAUUUGGGAGUACCUCGAGUUUGGAGUGGUGAUGAAAGCCUAAUGUCCUUACAGAUGCAAGGUUUAGUAAGAUCUCAUCUGGAAAGUAAGUUAACUCAUCAUUCUUCAAAAAAUGCAGCGUUUCAA
RNAcentral lists this long non-coding RNA (2259 nucleotides) under Medicago truncatula (barrel medic). RNAcentral describes it as "long non-coding RNA (MTRU_LNC003106)". The record is from RNAcentral. Lineage: Eukaryota; Viridiplantae; Streptophyta; Magnoliopsida; Fabales; Fabaceae.